AGAGUUUGAUCAUGGCUCAGAGCGAACGCUGGCGGCAGGCUUAACACAUGCAAGUCGAGCGCCUGUAGCAAUACAGGAGCGGCAGACGGGAGAGUAACACGUGGGAAUAUGCCCUUCGGUUCGGAAUAACUCAGGGAAACUUGAGCUAAUACCGGAUACGCCCUUACGGGGAAAGAUUUAUUGCCGAAGGAUUAGCCCGCGUCCGAUUAGCUAGUUGGUGAGGUAAUGGCUCACCAAGGCGACGAUCGGUAGCUGGUCUGAGAGGAUGAUCAGCCUCAUUGGGACUGAGACACGGCCCAAACUCCUACGGGAGGCAGCAGUGGGGAAUAUUGGACAAUGGGCGCAAGCCUGAUCCAGCCAUGCCGCGUGGGUGAUGAAGGCCCUAGGGUUGUAAAGCCCUUUCGGCGGGGAAGAUAAUGACGGUACCCGCAGAAGAAGCCCCGGCUAACUUCGUGCCAGCAGCCGCGGUAAUACGAAGGGGGCUAGCGUUGCUCGGAAUCACUGGGCGUAAAGCGCACGUAGGCGGGCAUCUAAGUCGGUGGUGAAAUCCUGGAGCUCAACUCCAGAACUGCCUUCGAUACUGGAUGUCUCGAGUCCGAGAGAGGUGAGUGGAACUGCGAGUGUAGAGGUGAAAUUCGUAGAUAUUCGCAAGAACACCAGUGGCGAAGGCGGCUCACUGGCUCGGUACUGACGCUGAGGUGCGAAAGCGUGGGGAGCAAACAGGAUUAGAUACCCUAGUAGUCC
This 744-nucleotide ribosomal RNA is filed under the name uncultured bacterium. RNAcentral describes it as "bacterial SSU rRNA". It matches the Rfam family "Bacterial small subunit ribosomal RNA", at positions 8 to 796 of the family's 1533-position model. The record is from RNAcentral.